AUGCCAAUAAAGCAUUUUUUAAGAACUAGGAUAGAAUUAUAGAUUCACAAACGGAAUGAAAAAAGCCAAUAAACUGAUGUCAACAGUGAUAUUAAUCCAAUGUUGAAAUUGUCUGACAAGGUUUAAAAGCAGCAUUAUAAAAAUGCUUCAAUACUCACCUACACAUCCUCUUGAAACAAAUGAAAAUAUAUGAGAUCUCAGCAAAGAAACAGAAGCUAUAAAAAUAAUCAGAUGGAAAUAACAAAGAAUUCACCCAAUUUGAACAAAAAAAAAGACCAAAUAAAAGAAUACACUCUUUGAUAUCUGAGUGACUUCCUUAGAAACAUUGGUCUAUAAUUUUAUUUUCACAGUCAUUAGCAGAAAUAGAACUCUUAAUUGUAAACUAUAUUCAUGAGAUUUCUGAUAGCAUUUACAAAAUUUUAGCGGCACUGGAUGCUUUCAUCAAAGAAGUAUGCUGUUUUACUUAGGCCAG
This 472-nucleotide long non-coding RNA is filed under the name Pan troglodytes (chimpanzee). RNAcentral describes it as "long non-coding RNA NONPTRT017058". The record is from RNAcentral. Lineage: Eukaryota; Metazoa; Chordata; Mammalia; Primates; Hominidae.